This 600-nucleotide long non-coding RNA is filed under the name Fukomys damarensis (Damara mole-rat). RNAcentral describes it as "lncRNA (ENSFDAG00000032877.1)". Lineage: Eukaryota; Metazoa; Chordata; Mammalia; Rodentia; Bathyergidae. The record is from RNAcentral.
GCCUCAUUGGCUCAGAAAAUCAGGUUUCAGAGACAAUCCCAUGUGGGAUCUCAAAGGCAGUACAUCCGUCUUCAGCUGAAUGUGGUCCUUGCUCUCCCUUUGAGCCAUGGAGUAUGCAGCUGAAACCUCAGCUCAAGGGAACAUCCUCUCUUCCUUCCCUCCCACUACACAGGUGGAGGUGCCUGGACUUUCUGGGAAUGAUAUCUGCCCCCCUGGCUUCUUCUGUCCCAGAGGAACAGGAUUUCCACUUCCAUGCCCCCCUGGGUUCUACUCCUCUACACCUGGCCUGGACAGCAAGGACCAGUGCCAGCCAUGCCCUGUGGGGCACUACUGUAGCCAUCCUGGGCUGUCCAGCAUCCUAGAGGCCAGGCUCUGCCAUGCAGGGUACAUCUGCCUGGGAGGCAGCACUGUUCCCUCACCCUCUAAUGGGACCUAUGGAUACAGAUGUCCUCCUGGUUUCCAAUGUCCUCCAGGGGCCCACCAUGAGCUACCCUGCAAGCCCGGUACCUUCAGUUCAUUGCCUGGUUCUGGUUCCUGCCUGGCCUGCCCACAAGGCACUUAUUGUCCCUGGGCUGCCACUGUACAGCCCACUACCUGCCC